RNAcentral lists this ribosomal RNA (383 nucleotides) under Gammaproteobacteria bacterium. RNAcentral's name for it is "bacterial SSU rRNA". It matches the Rfam family "Bacterial small subunit ribosomal RNA", at positions 1 to 376 of the family's 1533-position model. Lineage: Bacteria; Pseudomonadati; Pseudomonadota; Gammaproteobacteria. The record is from RNAcentral.
GAUUAAACUGAAGAGUUUGAUCCUGGCUCAGAUUGAACGCUGGCGGUAUGCUUAACACAUGCAAGUCGAACGGAAACGAUGGAAGCUUGCUUCCAGGCGUCGAGUGGCGGACGGGUGCGUAACGCGUAGGAAUUUACCUUAUAGUCGGGGACAACUUGGGGAAACUCAAGCUAAUACCGGAUAAUCCUUACGAGGGAAAGGGGGCCUCUUCUUGAAAGCUCUCGCUAUUAGAUGAGCCUGCGUCAGAUUAGCUUGUUGGUGAGGUAAUGGCUCACCAAGGCGACGAUCUGUAGCUGGUCUGAGAGGACGAUCAGCCACACUGGGACUGAGACACGGCCCAGACUCCUACGGGAGGCAGCAGUGGGGAAUAUUGGACAAUGGGG